UGGGGACAAAAAUAAAAAGUUAUAAGACUUUUAAAUAUGUGGAUUUUACGGUUAUCUUUGGCGCCCCCUAGAACCUAAACCGUGGGGUGCAGCGUCAUGAUUUGAAUAACUUUUAAUGGCCAUGGGGUGUAGAUUGGCCUGAGAAAAUGUGGUGCCGGUGGAACGAAAGCCUUCGGAGGAGUUAGCGAAAUUCCAAUGUGUGCGGAUCUGCAAAAAAUUCGGAAUAACCCUUUAACCGUACAUUUGACAGAUACGCCUGCACUGACUUUUUUGUAGAUCUUAUUGAGAUACAUGUGUGUGUCAAUUUUUGUGUCAUUUUGCCAAAGCGUACAGGUGUUACACUCAACAAUGUGUAUUUUCACCUUAGGGGACAAGAAAAAAUGGACUUUUUUCUCCUGCCAUGGGGGGGCGCUCUUUUGGGGAGUAAAAAUUCCUUCACAAAUGUGUUGAUGGCUGGACAUUGCAUCAUCCUAGAAAACUUGGAGGCCAGUGAGGGCAAAAAUAAAAAGUUAUAAGACUUUUAAAUAUGUGGAUUUUAGUGUUAUCUUUGGCGCCCCCUAGAACCUAAACCGUGGGGUGCAGCGUCAUGAUUUGAAUAACUUUUAAUGGCCAUGGGGUGUAGAUUGGCCUGAGCAAAUGUGGUGCCGGUGGAACAAAGGCUUCGGAGGAGUUAGCGAAAUUCCAAUGUGUGCGGAUCGGCAAAAAAUGCGCAAUAACCCUUUAACCGUACAUUUGACAGAUACGCCAGCACUGACUUUUUUGUAGAUCUUAUUGAGAUACAUUUGUGUGUCAAUUUUUGUGUAAUUUUGACAAAGCGUACAGGCGUGACAGUCAAUAGUGUGAAUUUUCACCUUAUGGGACAAGAAAAAAUGGACUUUUUUCUCCUGCCAUGGGGGGGCGCUCUUUUGGGGAGUAAAAAUUCCUUCACAAAUGUGUUGAUGGCUGGACAUUGCAUCAUCCUAGAAAACUUGGAGGCCAGUGAGGGCAAAAAUAAAAGUUAUAAGACUUUGAAAUAUGUGGAUUUUAGGGUUAUCUUUGGCGCCCCCUAGAACCUAAACCGUGGGGUGCAGCGUCAUGAUUUGAAUAACUUUUAAUGGCCAUGGGGUGUAGAUUGGCCUGAGCAAAUGUGGUGCCGGUGGAACGAAAGCCUUCGGAGGAGUUAGCGAAAUUCCAAUGUGUGCGGAUCGGCAAAAAAUGCGCAAUAACCCUUUAACCGUACAUUUGACAGAUAUGCCCGCACUGACUUUUUUGUAGAUCUUAUUGAGAUACAUGUGUGUGUCAAUUUUUGUGUCAUUUUGACAUAGCGUACAGGCGUCAGGUGAAUUUUUCACCUUAGGGGGCGCUAUGGAGCCAUUUUGCAUUGUAUUGUUUGGGCGACUUCAGAAUAUCAAAUUUUUCACCAGGCCCGGUCGUCCUGCCAAAUUUCAUGAGUUUUCGCCAGUGUGAAGUGGGCCAUUUUCCAGUUCAAAGGGGAGGAAAAAGAAAAAAGAAACUAGGACCCCGUUGGGGCACUGGCGGGCCCGAGCCGUGUCGCGUCUCCCCCCCCCCACCCCCCCACCCCCCAACGUGCUGCCUCCCCGUCCCAUUUGUGUCCUCUGGCCAUCGCCCUCUCUGUUAACGCCCAUCACUGCAAAGACCCUUUUCCUUCAUCGGCGUUUGCUGUUCUUCCUGCCAGUGCGUGUUGCUUUCACUUACACUUGCCACAGCCAGCCUCGUGAGUGCCUAGCCUAUUGGAUAUCACUGUCACCUACACAGGACAGUCAUUACCUUUCUAUUAAUACUUUGUGUUUUAAUUUCACAUUAAUUUCCAUAUUGUAUAAACGACUGGAAAAAACUUGAGCCCCUGCCCCUGUAUAAUCAUGUGCAUGUCUCUGUUCUAGCUCCAAGGUGAAUCUUCACUGCUCAUGUUCUCCUCAGAAGCACUCACCUCACUCCCCUCAGGUUACUGUACACAUGCACCAACUGCCUGCUUCAGGUUUGGAUGGAGCUUCAUGGUUGUCUUUUGGAGAAAUGACCAGUCAAGUUGUGUUUGAAAUUUGAUUUUUUUCAGGGGCAAAAGGAGCCUCUGCAUUCUUGUCAAAUAUGUAAAUAGCAUGUUUUUGCAGGUGCUAAAAACCAGACUCUGAGUGUGUGUGUGUGUGUGUGUGUGUGUGUGUGUGUGUGUGUGUGUGUGUGUGUGUGUGUGUGGCGUGUGUGUGUGUCUAUGUGUGCGUUCAAGUCACAUGACAUAUUUAACCGGAUGUAGCUGCAAGACGGAGCCUCGUUGACUCUCCGUUUCAACUUAUCUCAAAAGUGAGGACCUCAACCUAUAUACCAGUUUUUAAAUUGUGUUGAUAGGCCAAAUAAAACCAGAGUUAUGAUAAAUUAUGUCCGCGAUACUUUUUUUCUGCUUAUUUUGAUCACGUUCGGCGCUCGAUCGCGCUGUAUGAGACAGGAAAACAUAGCAUGCAGACAUUAGCGACAGGUCUUACAGGCGGAAAAGGCUUGCCAAAAGAAAAAAAAAACACACCACAACAUCUCUCCUAUUGGUGGAAAACUUCACCACAACAACCAAUCCAAAAUUAUAUGGUGACUGAUUGACAAGGGGCGGGCGCUUACGUUCUUCCUGCAACAUGAGAAGGGAGGGAGGGACUCUCAGCAGGGAUGCAGUCUGGGACACGUAGUUGCAAACCUAGCGACUUUGUUGUUAGAUUCAAUGACUUUUCAGACACCCUAACGACUUUUUUAGAAAGAAAGGGACUUUUAUCGACUUCUUCUGGAGUUUAGAGACUCUGACAUGAAGCAGGCUUUCCUUACUGAGGAGUUAGCAACGCUGCUAAGGGUGCAGAGCCACACAUGCGCUCAGAGCUCUGCAUGGGAGACUGAAGCUGACAGAGCUGCAGCAGUUAGCAGGUUUCACCCUCAGAGACCACCAGGGGUUCAUGUUGAGGCAUUUUAAUUUUUUUUUUUUUUGUGCCAUAGACACUGUCAGCACAAUCUGCAGUUACACUAACAAAAAUGCUGCAAAAAACAAAUAAUUAUGGAAAAAUUACACAUGGACUGACAUAGAGGAGGAUCUACACAAGUUUUUUACAUCAUGUUUUACAUCAUGCAUCAUUUACAUCAUGUUUUUUUGUAGUGGCAUAAAUAAAAAGUGACAUUUGUGAGACUAUACAGUGUUUUGUAAAUAAUUUUACAAAGAACGCCUGGGCCAUUGCCUGCAUUUUGAUGUAAAUAGAGGUAAAUUACUAUGUUCUUUGUUAAAAAUUUGCAUAUGUUUUGAAGUUUACAAUUUUUAUUUGAAGUUUAAGUUUUAAAAACAGUUCAUCACACAUAUUUGUGGUUUAAUUUCACAUUAAUUUCCAUAUUGUAUAAAUGACUGGAAAAAUCUUGAGCCCCUGCCCCUGUAUAAUCAUGUGCACGUCCCUGUUCUAGCUCCAAGGUGAAUCUUCACUGCUCAUGUUCUCCUCAGAAAUAGUCACCUCACUCCCCUCAGGUUACUGUACACAUGCACCAACUAUCUGCUUCAGGUUUGAAAUGGAGCUUCAUGGUUGUCUUUUGGAGAAAUGAACAGUCAAGUUGUGUUUGAAAUUUGAUUUUUUUCAGGGGCAAAAGGAAGCCUCUGCAUUCUUGUCAAAUAUGUAAACAGCAUGUUUUUGCAGGUGCUAAAAAACAGACUCUGAGUGUGUGUGUGUGUCUGUGUGUGUGUGUGUGUGUGUGUGUGUGUGUGUGUGUAUGUUGGCGUGUGUGUAUAUGUGUGUGUAUCCUGCAGUACUCUGUACUCCUGCAGUGGCCAAAAAGACUUUUAAGAAUGUGGAUUUUUGGGUCAUCUUUGGCGCCCCCUAGAACUGCAGUACUCUGUACUCCUGCAGUGGCCAAAAUGACUUUUAAGAAUGUGGAUUUUUGGGUCAUCUUUGGCGCCCCCUAGAACGUAAACCGUGGGGUGCAGCGUCAUGAUUUUUACAACUUUGAAUGGGCAUGGGGUGUAGAUUGCCCUGAGCAAAUUUGGUAUCGGUGGGACGAAAGCCUUAGGAGGAGAUAGCCACAUUCCAAUGUGUGCGAAUCGGCAAAAAAUGCAAAAUAGCCCUUUAACCGUACAUUAUACAGAUACGCGCUCUUUGACUUUUUCGUAGAUCUAAUUGAGAUACACAUGAUUGUCAAUUUUUGUGUCAAUAUGACAAAGCGUUCAGGCGUGACACUCAACAAUGUGUAUUUUUAUGUAAGGGGACAAGAAAAAAUUGACUUUUUUCUCCUACCAUGGGGGGGCGCUCUUUUGGGGAGUAAAAAUUCCUUCACAAAUGUGUUGAUGGCUGGACAUUGCAUCAUCCUAGAAAACUUGGAGGCCAGUGAGGACAAAAAUAAAAAGUUAUAAAACAUUUAAGAAUGUGGAUUUUUGGGUUAUCUUUGGCGCCCCCUAGAACCUAAACCGUGGGGUGCAGCAUCAUGAUUUGAAUAACUUUUAAUGGCCAUGGGGUGUAGAUUGGCCUGAGCAAAUGUGGUGCCGGUGGAACGAAAGCCUUCGGAGGAGUUAGCGAAAUUCCAAUGUGUGCGUAUCGGCAAAAAAUGCGGAAUAACCCUUUAACUGUACAUUUGACAGAUACGCGCGCAUGGACUUUUUUGUAGAUCUUAUUGAGUUACAUGUGUGUGUCAAUUUUUGUGUCAUUUUGACAAAGCGUAUAGGCGUGACACUCAACAAUGUGUAUUUUCACCUUAGGGGACAAGAAAAAAUGGACUUUUUUCUCCUGCCAUGGGGGGGCGCUCUUUUGGGGAGUAAAAAUUCCUUCACAAAUGUGUUGAUGGCUGGACAUUGCAUCAUCCUAGAAAACUUGGAGGCCAGUGAGGACAAAAAUAAAAAGUUAUAAGACUUUUAAAUAUGUGGAUUUUAGUGUUAUCUUUGGCGCCCCCUAGAACCUAAACCUUGGGGUGCAGCGUCAUGAUUUUGAUAACUUUUAAUGGCCACGGGGUGUAGAUUGGCCUGAGCAAAUGUGGUGCUGGUGGAACGAAAGCCUUCGGAGGAGUUAGCGAAAUUCCAAUGUGUGCGGAUCGGCAAAAAAUGCGAAAUAACCCUUUAACCGUAAUUUUGACAGAUACGGCCGCACUGACUUUUUUGUAGAUCUUAUUGAGAUACAUAUGUGUGUCAAUUUUUGUGUCAAUAUGACAAAGCGUACAGGCGUGACAGUCAAUAGUGUGAAUUUCCACCUUAGGGGGCGCUAUGGAGCCAUUUUGCAUUUUAAUGUUUGGGCGACUUCAGAAUAUCAAAUUUUUCACCAGGCCCGGUCGUCCUGCCAAAUUUCAUGAGUUUUCGCCAGUGGGAAGUGGGCCAUUUUCCAGUUCAAAGGGGAGGAAAAAGAAGAAAGAAAGAAAGAAAAAGAAAGAAACAAAGAAAAACCACUUGGGGAAUAAUAGGGCCUACGCCCGGCUGCUCUGCAGCUGGCUCGGGCCCUAACAAAGAAAAACCACUUGGGGAAUAAUAGGGCUCUCGCAGCUGCUUAGCAGCUACGCUCGGGCCCUAACUAGGACCCCGUUGGGGCACUGGCGGGCCCGAGCCGUGUCGCGUCUCCCCCCCCCCCCCCCCCAACAUGCUGCCUCCCCGUCCCAUUUGUGUCCUCUGGCCAUCGCCCUCUCUGUUAACGCCCAUCACUGCAAAGACCCUUUUCCUUCAUCGGCGUUUGCUGUUCUUCCUGCCAGUGCGUGUUGCUUUCACUUACACUUGCCACAGCCAGCCUCGUGAGUGCCUAGCCUAUUGGAUAUCACUGUCACCUACACAGGACAGUCAUUACCUUUCUAUUAAUACUUUGUGUUUUAAUUUCACAUUAAUUUCCAUAUUGUAUAAACGACUGGAAAAAACUUGAGCCCCUGCCCCUGUAUAAUCAUGUGCAUGUCUCUGUUCUAGCUCCAAGGUGAAUCUUCACUGCUCAUGUUCUCCUCAGAAGCAGUCACCUCACUCCCCUCAGGUUACUGUACACAUGCACCAACUGCCUGCUUCAGGUUUGGAUGGAGCUUCAUGGUUGUCUUUUGGAGAAAUGACCAGUCAAGUUGUGUUUGAAAUUUGAUUUUUUUCAGGGGUAAAAGGAGCCUCUGCAUUCUUGUCAAAUAUGUAAAUAGCAUGUUUUUGCAGGUGCUAAAAACCAGACUCUGAGUGUGUGUGUGUGUGUGUGUGUGUGUGUGUGUGUGUGUGUGUGUGUGUGUGUGUGUGUGUGUGUGCGUGUGUGUGUGUCUGUGUGUGCGUUCAAGUCACAUGACAUAUUUAACCGGAUGUAGCUGCAAGACGGAGCCUCGUUGACUCUCCGUUUCAACUUAUCUCAAAAGUGAGGACCUCAACCUAUAUACCAGUUUUUAAAUUGUGUUGAUAGGCCAAAUAAAACCAGAGUUAUGAUAAAUUAUGUCCGCGAUACUUUUUUUCUGCUUAUUUUGAUCACGUUCGGCGCUCGAUCGCGCUGUAUGAGACAGGAAAACAUAGCAUGCAGACAUUAGCGACAGGUCUUACAGGCGGAAAAGGCUUGCCAAAAGAAAAAAAAAACACACCACAACAUCUCUCCUAUUGGUGGAAAACUUCACCACAACAACCAAUCCAAAAUUAUAUGGUGACUGAUUGACAAGGGGCGGGCGCUUACGUUCUUCCUGCAACAUGAGAAGGGAGGGAGGGACUCUCAGCAGGGAUGCAGUCUGGGAC
RNAcentral lists this long non-coding RNA (6652 nucleotides) under Xyrichtys novacula (pearly razorfish). Lineage: Eukaryota; Metazoa; Chordata; Actinopteri; Labriformes; Labridae. The record is from RNAcentral.